Mangifera indica (mango) is the source of this 1323-nucleotide long non-coding RNA. RefSeq lists it as uncharacterized. Lineage: Eukaryota; Viridiplantae; Streptophyta; Magnoliopsida; Sapindales; Anacardiaceae. The record is from RefSeq and is a predicted model, not a curated record. The transcript has 3 exons.
UAUAUUUAGCUGUAGAGAGCCCAGAAUAAUAAAGAGGAAGAGAGGCUGACAGAAGAGAGUGAGCGCACGCAGGCAAUUGUCUGAGAAAAUACCUUUGCGGGCGCGUGCUCACUUAUCUCUCUGUCAGCUCAAAACCCUUCGCUUGUCUCUCGUCCUUACAACUCAGACUAUUGAAAAUUUUUCUUCCGCUUAUAUCUCUGCACGUCCACUUCUCUCUCUAUAUGUAUCUGUAGAACGCUUGAGUUCUAUAAAAGAGAAGUUAAAAUUGACUUAUGUUCUUUGUAUUGUUUGGAUUUCUUAUAUUAUAAUAAUAAGAAUAAUAUGUGAUAGAGCUUGGAAUUGGAAAGCGUGACUUUUCAUGGUCCUCUAUUAGUCUUUGACGAGGACGAACUACUUCAAGGUACGCUUGGUUACUGUUCAUACCCUAACGGAAAACUAUGAUUUUCUUUUGGAUUUUUUAUGUUCUUUCUCGUUUUCACCUUCUUCUUUGCUUAUCAAAUUCAUAACCCUCUUCUUCCUCCUCCUUGUCUUUAUUUUGGCCUCCAAUUUUGGGUGUUUUCUCCUCUCUUUAGCUUGUACCAAGUGGGUUUUCGCUAUAAAGUUUUCGAUUUUCUGUUUAUUGUGAAUCUUGCUGACAUCUUUUUGAUUUUGUUUGCUUUGUUGCCGCUUUGCUACUUUAUGUUUUUGCUUCCUCUUUAUGAUCUGGAUUUGGUUGACAUAAAAACUUUUGUGUCUUUGACUCGAUAAUUUUUUUUCCUAAAAUGAGAAAAAUGGUUUGUUUUCACUUCUGGGAAAAUAUGCUCGACUUUGUAGCCGUGAAUGAAGUUUCCCAAGAAGGCAAUCUUCUUGUACAGCACCAUUUGUUGUUUGGUUCUGGGAAGCAACAACAAACAACUUCUAUUUCCUGAAGCUUAAUCACUCAGGUUGGCGUCAUUCUUUUCAUGUUCUGAUGCCAUAUAGUGGUUUAUUCAAUAAUAUGAGGAAAUCUAGGUGACAUAUUGAUUCAUAUCACAGGUCUCAUAAUAAACAAAAUUCAGCUAAUGAGUUUGAGUUUUUUGGUGAUAUUUUUCUUGCACACCAGUUAACUAGUUUUCGUUUCUGAUAUAAUAAGUGAUCAGCUUAAUAAAAAAGUCUUCAUGAAGUUCUAUAGUGUUCUUGUGGCUUAUUGUCCUCAGAACUUUUUUUUUUCAUAUGAUUUGUGGUCCUUAUUUGCUCAAAUUUGAUUGAGCAUAGAUAACCCUUAUGGUUGUUGAAAUGUAUAUCAUUGUCAACCUGAAGUGGAUGACGGUGAAACUUUAUUUUUUUAUUUGUGAUAAUAAUAUA